GGCACCAUGGCCGAGUGGUUAAGGCGACAGAUUAGAAUUUCUCACGAUCUGUUUCCCUCUGGGAGCGGGCGUUCGAAUCGCCCUGGUGUCG
This is a non-coding RNA of Obba rivulosa, 91 nucleotides long. NCBI's taxonomy places the organism in Eukaryota, Fungi, Basidiomycota, Agaricomycetes, Polyporales, Gelatoporiaceae. The record is from the annotation of a GenBank genome assembly.